Gossypium arboreum is the source of this 721-nucleotide long non-coding RNA. RefSeq lists it as uncharacterized. The record is from RefSeq and is a predicted model, not a curated record. The transcript has 2 exons. NCBI's taxonomy places the organism in Eukaryota, Viridiplantae, Streptophyta, Magnoliopsida, Malvales, Malvaceae.
GUUUAAUUUUCUGCAGAAUUAAGCCUAAAAAAAAAAACCAAAUCAGACACCUAACCCCCCCUCAUUAACAAAUCAAAGUAAAAAAAGAACUAAAGUCUCUCAGACGAACCCUAGAUCAACACCCAAGCCACCGAUUCCCAUCCCCCAGGCAACAACCUGCCCCUUUAGGCCCAGAAGAUGAUUUUUCAGCCUCAAGAUCUCCUCCUAGCUUUGACUUCAACAAAGCAGAAGGAGGUUUACGACGUAUUUCCCAGGUACGGGGUGUGCUGGUGCUCGGGUACAGGAGCUAGCGUACGGAGGCGCGCGUGGCUGCUGAAACACUGGAGCGUACGGAGGCGCUGGAGGGGCUCGGCUGCUAGGGCUAGGGUUUGCUAAAAUUUGGUUUAGUCUUUUGGGCCGUUUGGGCCCGUAUUUUGGGUUAAGGAUUUGUUAAUUUGGUUUUAGGGUCUUGAAUGUUGGGCUUGUAUAGUGUAUUUGGGUUGUUUUGUACUAGGGACUUGGACUGUGGACAUCCUUUUGGUUUACUUUUCUCAUUUUUUUUUGUGUGUUUUUAAACUGUUUAUUUUUAGUGCUAGGCCCGGGCUAAAAUUGGUCAUUACAGACAUGAUGAUCAAGAGUGUUCAUCGCUCUAGGUGUGACCUGGAUUCGAGUCACGCUAGUCACUAUUUGUAAUUCACAAAAAGAAAAUUCAUUAUAACGAUGUCGUAAAUAUUUUUGAGAA